UCCCCGGUAGCUCAAUGGUAGAGCGGGUGGCUGUUAACCACUAGGUUGUAGGUUCGAGUCCUGCCCGGGGAGC
This 73-nucleotide transfer RNA is filed under the name subsurface metagenome. Its description in RNAcentral is "tRNA-Asn". It matches the Rfam family "tRNA". From Rfam's summary of the family: Transfer RNA (tRNA) molecules are approximately 80 nucleotides in length. Their secondary structure includes four short double-helical elements and three loops (D, anti-codon, and T loops). The record is from RNAcentral.